GAUCUACCAUGAAAGACUUGUGAAUCCAGGAAGAGAGACUGACUGGGCAACAUGUUAUUCAGGGUCUCCCUCUGUUGUCCAAGGCUGGAGUGUAGUAGUGCUAUCGCAGCUGACUGCAGCCUCAACCUUCCAGGCUGAAGCGAUCCUCCCACCUCAACCUCCCACGUGGCUGAGACUACAGGUGCUUGCCACUAUGCCCAACUAACAUUUGGAAUUUUCGUAUACGUGGAUUCCAGAGGGGUGACAGCGAAACGUGGGACCAUCCAGUUGCAGGAAAACAAGCUUAACACGCCCACUAAUUCUACAUUAUGCUCCUACCUCCCGGCAGCCUCUCCAGGCCCAGAACUUUCUCCAGUCAGCCUCUACAGACCAAGCUCAUGACUCACAAUGGCCUAUUUAGGCCCAUACCCUACGUCACGGCAGCCUCCGCAGAUGAGGCUACUGCCUCACAACAGCCUCCACAGGCACAGCUCCAUCGUUACAAUGGCCUCUUUAGACCCAGCUCCUGCCUCCCAGCCUUCUCUCCAGGCCCUGAACUUUCUCAAGUCGACCUCACCAGGCCCAGCUCAUGCUUCUUUGCAGCCUCUCCAGGCCCAGCUCCUGCAUCUUGGUGGCCCCUCCAGGCCCAGCCUCUGCCUCCCGUCGGCCUCUGCAGUCCCAACGUCUGCCUCACAGCAGAUUCUUCACGCCCAGCAUCUACCUCACUGUGGACCCCCCAAGCCAAGCUCCCAACCUUUCAGCAGCUU
Molecule: long non-coding RNA, 746 nt
Filed under: Homo sapiens (human)
Lineage: Eukaryota; Metazoa; Chordata; Mammalia; Primates; Hominidae
Description: non-protein coding lnc-OR4F29-1:9
Source: RNAcentral